AGAUUGAACGCUGGCGGCAUGCCUUACACAUGCAAGUCGAACGGCAGCACGGGAGCAAUCCUGGUGGCGAGUGGCGAACGGGUGAGUAAUACAUCGGAACGUGCCCAGUUGUGGGGGAUAGCCCGGCGAAAGCCGGAUUAAUACCGCAUACGACCUACGGGUGAAAGCGGGGGGAUCGCAAGACCUCGCGCUAUUGGAGCGGCCGAUGUCGGAUUAGCUUGUUGGUAGGGUAAAAGCCUACCAAGGCUACGAUCCGUAGCUGGUCUGAGAGGACGACCAGCCACACUGGGGACUGAGACACGGGCCCAGACUCCUACGGGAGGCAGCAGUGGGGAAUUUGGACAAUGGGCGAAAGCCUGAUCAGCCAUGCGCGUGCGGGAAGAGGCCUUGGUGUAACCGCUUUGUCAGGAGAAACGGUUGAGCUAAUAUCUACGGACUAAAGUGAACGUACCGUGAACG
Molecule: ribosomal RNA, 459 nt
Filed under: uncultured soil bacterium
Lineage: Bacteria
Description: bacterial SSU rRNA
Rfam family: Bacterial small subunit ribosomal RNA
Source: RNAcentral